CCUACGGGAGGCAGCAGUGGGGAAUAUUGGACAAUGGGCGAAAGCCUGAUCCAGCAAUGCCGCGUGAGUGAUGAAGGCCUUAGGGUCGUAAAGCUCUUUUACCAGGGAUGAUAAUGACAGUACCUGGAGAAUAAGCUCCGGCUAACUCCGUGCCAGCAGCCGCGGUAAUACGGAGGGAGCUAGCGUUGUUCGGAAUUACUGGGCGUAAAGCGUACGUAGGCGGUUAUUCAAGUCAGAGGUGAAAGCCCGGGGCUCAACCCCGGAACGGCCUUUGAAACUAGAUAGCUAGAGUCUUGGAGAGGUCAGUGGAAUUCCGAGUGUAGAGGUGAAAUUCGUAGAUAUUCGGAAGAACACCAGUGGCGAAGGCGACUGACUGGACAAGUACUGACGCUGAGGUACGAAAGCGUGGGGAGCAAACAGGAUUAGAUACCCUGGUAGUCCACGCCGUAAACGAUGAUAACUAGCUGUCCGGGUACUUGGUAUCUGGGUGGCGCAGCUAACGCAUUAAGUUAUCGCCUGGGGAUACGGUCGCAGAUUAAACUCAAAGGAAUUGACG
This 556-nucleotide ribosomal RNA is filed under the name uncultured bacterium. Its description in RNAcentral is "bacterial SSU rRNA". It matches the Rfam family "Bacterial small subunit ribosomal RNA", at positions 338 to 915 of the family's 1533-position model. The record is from RNAcentral.